AUGACCAGGUGCAGCACUGAAGAUCUGAGACUGAGAUGGUUUCCCCCACUGCCAUUGUCUUUCAGGACCAUCCGAUUAAAGAAAAUGGUAUUAAAUACUGUGGACAACCCAAGAGAAGAAUUACAGAGGGAAAGUUUCUUAAAGAUGCCAUUGAGAAGACAACUAGAUGUAAGGAAAUCUAUGAUUUGUGGAAUAAAAAGGAACAUUAUAAGAAACUAUUAUUGUGAGAAGUCUUUUUUUCCCUUCUGA
Molecule: long non-coding RNA, 249 nt
Filed under: Mustela putorius furo (domestic ferret)
Lineage: Eukaryota; Metazoa; Chordata; Mammalia; Carnivora; Mustelidae
Description: lncRNA (ENSMPUG00000030219.1)
Source: RNAcentral